Molecule: ribosomal RNA, 292 nt
Filed under: uncultured bacterium
Lineage: Bacteria
Description: partial 16S ribosomal RNA
Rfam family: Bacterial small subunit ribosomal RNA
Source: RNAcentral
GUUUUAGCCGCCGCGGUAAUACGUAGGGGGCAAGCGUUGUCCGGAAUCAUUGGGCGUAAAGAGCGUGUAGGCGGUCCGGUAAGUCGGUUGUGAAAGUCCAGGGCUCAACCCUGGGAUGCCGAUCGAUACUGUCGGACUAGAGUUCGGAAGAGGCGAGUGGAAUUCCCGGUGUAGCGGUGAAAUGCGCAGAUAUCGGGAGGAACACCAAUGGCGAAGGCAGCUCGCUGGGACGUUACUGACGCUGAGACGCGAAAGCGUGGGGAGCAAACAGGAUUAGAUACCCGUGUAGUCC